This 380-nucleotide long non-coding RNA is filed under the name Manihot esculenta (cassava). RNAcentral's name for it is "long non-coding RNA (MESC_LNC004602)". Lineage: Eukaryota; Viridiplantae; Streptophyta; Magnoliopsida; Malpighiales; Euphorbiaceae. The record is from RNAcentral.
CAGUGAGUAGAAUCAUAAAAACAUAUUAACAAACAUGCUCCAAUAAAAUGCAUCAUAACACAGACAAUUCACAUAAGGGUUGGGUGAACUUGUCACCAAAUAGUCCCAGCAUCAUUCGUGCCAGGCCGUAGCAUGGGGUCCUGGUCUUCCUGUCAUAUCAUACAUUACUUACCAUUGCCCCAGGGCCUCCUCUGGGCUCCUGGUCUUCGAGUCCCAUAUCCGUGCCAGGCCGUAGAAUGGGGUCCUGGUCUUUCAUUUCCGUGCCAGGCCGUAGAAUGGGGUCCUGGUCUUCCCUCAAGGACUAAUUGGGUCAUCCAACAUUCACCCACAUCAACAAUAAAGAAUGCAAUGCAACAUAUUCGUGAAAUCUAAUGCAAUCA